GACGAACGCUGGCGGCGUGCUUAACACAUGCAAGUCGAACGGAAAGGCCUUUUCGGCGGUACUCGAGUGGCGAACGGGUGCGUAACACGUGGGUGAUCUGCCCUGCACUCUGGGAUAAGCCUGGGAAACUGGGUCUAAUACCGGAUAGGACCGCACUUUAGUGUGUGUGGUGGAAAGUUUUUUCGGUGUAGGAUGAGCCCGCGGCCUAUCAGCUUGUUGGUGGGGUAAUGGCCUACCAAGGCGGCGACGGGUAGCCGGACUGAGAGGUUGGUCGGCCACAUUGGGACUGAGAUACGGCCCAGACUCCUACGGGAGGCAGCAGUGGGGAAUAUUGCACAAGGGGCGCAAGCCUGAUGCAGCGACGCCGCGUGGGGGAUGACGGCCUUCGGGUUGUAAACUCCUUUCGCCAGGGACGAAGCGUUUUGUGACGGUACCUGGAGAAGAAGCACCGGCUAACUACGUG
RNAcentral lists this ribosomal RNA (463 nucleotides) under uncultured bacterium. RNAcentral's name for it is "partial 16S ribosomal RNA". It matches the Rfam family "Bacterial small subunit ribosomal RNA", at positions 28 to 507 of the family's 1533-position model. The record is from RNAcentral.